This 482-nucleotide ribosomal RNA is filed under the name uncultured bacterium. RNAcentral describes it as "partial 16S ribosomal RNA". It matches the Rfam family "Bacterial small subunit ribosomal RNA", at positions 29 to 506 of the family's 1533-position model. The record is from RNAcentral.
UUGCACGCUGGCGGCAUGCUUUACACAUGCAAGUCGAACGGCAGCGCGGGCUUCGGCCUGGCGGCGAGUGGCGAACGGGUGAGUAAUACAACGGAACGUGCCCAGUAGUGGGGGAUAGCUCGGCGAAAGCCGGAUUAAUACCGCAUACGACCUGAGGGUGAAAGCGGGGGAUCUUCGGACCUCGCGCUAUUGGAGCGGCCGAUGGCAGAUUAGCUAGUUGGUGGGGUAAAGGCCUACCAAGGCGACGAUCUGUAGCUGGUCUGAGAGGACGACCAGCCACACUGGGACUGAGACACGGCCCAGACUCCUACGGGAGGCAGCAGUGGGGAAUUUUGGACAAUGGGCGAAAGCCUGAUCCAGCAAUGCCGCGUGUGUGAUGAAGGCCUUCGGGUUGUAAAGCACUUUUGGCGGGAACGAAAAGGACUGUGCCAAUACCACGGUUCGAUGACGGUACCCGCAGAAUAAGCACCGGCUAACUACGU